RNAcentral lists this ribosomal RNA (253 nucleotides) under uncultured bacterium. Its description in RNAcentral is "partial 16S ribosomal RNA". It matches the Rfam family "Bacterial small subunit ribosomal RNA", at positions 524 to 776 of the family's 1533-position model. The record is from RNAcentral.
UACGUAGGGGGCUAGCGUUGUCCGGAAUCAUUGGGCGUAAAGAGCGUGUAGGCGGCUCGGUAAGUCCGCUGUAAAAGUCAAAGGCUCAACCUUUGAAUGUCAGUGGAUACUGCCGGGCUAGAGUCCGGAAGAGGCGAGUGGAACUCCUGGUGUAGCGGUGGAAUGCGCAGAUAUCAGGAAGAACACCAACGGCGAAGGCAGCUCGCUGGGACGGUACUGACGCUGAGGCGCGAAAGCGUGGGGAGCGAACAGG